RNAcentral lists this transfer RNA (76 nucleotides) under Clostridia bacterium. RNAcentral describes it as "tRNA-Lys". It matches the Rfam family "tRNA". From Rfam's summary of the family: Transfer RNA (tRNA) molecules are approximately 80 nucleotides in length. Their secondary structure includes four short double-helical elements and three loops (D, anti-codon, and T loops). Lineage: Bacteria; Bacillati; Bacillota; Clostridia. The record is from RNAcentral.
GCGCCAUUAGCUCAGUUGGUAGAGCAGUUGACUCUUAAUCAAAAGGUCCCCAGUUCGAGCCUGGGAUGGCGCACCA